CCUACGGGAGGCAGCAGUGGGGGAUAUUGCACAAUGGGGGGAACCCUGAUGCAGCGACGCCGCGUGAGUGAAGAAGUAAUUCGUUAUGUAAAGCUCUAUCAGCAGGGAAGAAUAAAUGACGGUACCUGAGUAAGAAGCCCCGGCUAACUACGUGCCAGCAGCCGCGGUAAUACGUAGGGGGCAAGCGUUAUCCGGAUUUACUGGGUGUAAAGGGAGCGUAGACGGCGAUGCAAGCCAGAUGUGAAAGCCCGCGGCUCAACUGCGGUAGUGCAUUUGGAACUGUAUGGCUGGAGUGCAGGAGAGGCAGGCGGAAUUCCUAGUGUAGCGGUGAAAUGCGUAGAUAUUAGGAGGAACACCAGUGGCGAAGGCGGCAUACCGGCGCCCAACUGACGCUGAAGCACGAAAGCGUGGGUAUCGAACAGGAUUAGAUACCCUGGUAGUC
RNAcentral lists this ribosomal RNA (442 nucleotides) under uncultured bacterium. RNAcentral's name for it is "partial 16S ribosomal RNA". It matches the Rfam family "Bacterial small subunit ribosomal RNA", at positions 338 to 795 of the family's 1533-position model. The record is from RNAcentral.